UCCAAACCUAUGAACCUGGGCCGCCAAAGUGGAGUGUGCCAAACUUAACCACUAUGCCACGGGGCCAGCCUGAGAUAAUGAAGUUUUUGAUUACACAAUAAUAAAACCUCUGCAGCUGUAAUAAACCUUAAUUGGGUGAAUGACUCAUUUAAAACUUGAAAAUUCAGAAACUGCAUCUGGGGAAAUAAUCUAAUGUUUCGUUUGUGGUCCAUGGUCACCUCUUUCAGUGGCAUUGUUUCUGCUGCCUCCCAAUUGCAAACUGCUGUACACACAGAGUUCAAACCUGAACCUACACUGGGAGCCGAAGGAUAAUUCCAGCCUUUGUUGAUCUACACCAGAAAUGCCCAUCUGUUACAAGGGGGAGCUCUGAUGACUGGAAAGUAUUAUAAUCCCCUUUCAGAAAAAUGUAAUGCUGCUGAUUAGAGGAGGGCAGAGUGGGUUCUUAAUUUCAGCAGAGGUUCCAGCAGCAUUUAUUGAGUUUAAAGUGAGUUCAGAGCCAUGUGCCUGGGAAAGCUAUUUGAAGAUUUGCACAGUCGUCAGAAGAUCCCAAGGAGAAGGACGACAUGGCACAUUCACACUUCUCUUCCUUUACAAUCGUUGUCUAAUAUGCACAGCCGACGACCAUGUAUGUAACUGUAACUGAUUUCCAGAAAUACUCAUUAAGAUCAAGAAGAAAAAGAAUUAGGAAUAAAGUAGGAAGCUUGCUUUAAAAAAUCAGCCAAAACAAAUGGGAAAAAAUGUUGGUUAAACAACAAGAUACCUGUCAGUCCUUCCAAAAUGUUAUUGUUCUUGUGGGGCUUGACCCCCAGUUAUGAUGUAGUCUGGGUGUGAGUGCUGGCACGUGUUUCCGCCAUGGACUUCCUCUACUCCCUGGCCAGCCGCCACACCCUCCCACCCCAACAAGGCAGAGACUCUUUCCCCUCUUAUGUAGGGAAAAGCCCUUGUUGCAGUCGAUUGAAUUGGAGGCUAAAGGUGCGCAGUCAUGGGGUGGUCACACCUCCUUCAACUGCAGAACUUUCCUGGUGUGUCAUUUCCACCGUGUGUCCUCUGCGUUUCCAGGAGGGCCUCUGACUUCCCGGAACUUGGCUGUAGCAUCUCUGCUGGCACCCGGCGAAGCCUGAGCGUGGAGAUUCAGCUGCCUUGCAUCCCGACCUGCAUAUUUUCUUUUCUCAGUUGUGACCUUAUCUAAUAGAAUUCUGUGUAUUUUCCCCCAUUCAGAAUGCACUACUAUUAAUAAUAGCAAUGGUUUUACUUAUUAUUUAUUAUCUUUAACUUUCAUAACAAUUUUCGUAGUACGGGUCUUAACGGGAAGAAUGGGCUUACUCGGAGUUGGUAAGUAGGCCCUGCUGUGGUUUUCCAAACACCCCCAUCCAUGCUGCAUGAUGGAGAUUGAGCGCACAGAAACCCACUCAAUAGAAAGCUGUCUGCAUUCAGGAGCUUAACUGUGUGCAAGUGAGCGGCCGUGGAGCUCAGGGUGGAACAGUUGACUCCACGCAGUGGCUGACCGCCUGGAAAAGCCCGCUGUCCUGACAGAUCUCGGAGAUUGGACCAGGGGAGGAGAAAGCGGAUUUAGCUUGGCAUGUGAGGCUGCCGAUUGAAAACAUUUCAAGUAUGCAACCUAGACUUGUUUUUCCCCCCAAAAAAGGACUAAUAUGGAAAUCUAGGCUCAUAGAGACCCCUCCGGAAGUUCCUCACAUUACUCUGAGUAUCAUUGUUUCUCACAAGCUAAAUGUACAUGCAGCUAAGGAAUAAAGCAUCCUAGCUAUGUGUUUGUUAAAGAUUAUGCCUUCAUUGGAAUUUUACAGCAUCAAAGGGACAAUAAUAACAAAAAAAAGAAUUCUUUCAACGAAAGUGCAGGUACUGGUUAGUGAGUGUUAACUCACAAUUAACUGUCUAGAGAAAAAGUAGGACCAACUGGCUUUCCAAGGCCUGAUGUCCAUGCUACUGUAUUUAAUUAACACAGCCAGGAGUUAUAAGUAUCGAUGCCUUCAUUAAAAAAAUACUAGAAAAGUCCCCCAGGAAAAAGGAAGUCAGAGCAUUUCAUGAAGGCCUUGCAAAAUAGAAAUAUAAAAGCAAUUAUUACACCCAUGAACCCAGAAUUAGUUUCUCUGUUCCCAGAUCCUUCUGCUUUGUAGUACUUCUCACAGCAAGAAAUUUUGGCAAUAGGAACAUUUGUUUACAGUAAAUAUACUUAGAAUUUUUCCGUAGAACUCAGGUUUUUAUGAAAAAAUGAAUAGAAAACAAAUAGCAACAAAAACCUAAAAGAGAAUCAAGAAUAGUAAAAGAUUAAUUGACUUCUUCUAAUCCCCAUGGCUAAAGUAAAUGUGAUUUUUAAGUGAAUGUCGGACGUGUUGAUAUUACCUGAACCUCAGUGUUCACUCCGAGGCUGCUGGGGGAGGGGUGAGGACAGAGGCUCAGCCUCCCUGCCUCCCCACCUGACCUGGCUUCUCCCUUCCUUGGACCAUGGCACUCUGGACGCGGAGCUGUAUUAGCAUUUACUACUCGUAUUGGCGUAUUGACGUGUUCGUCUCUCUCAGUGGCAGGAAUACAUGGAGGUCAGAGGCUGAAUCUCACAUAACUUCCCAUAGUGUCCUCCUCCUACUCAGUACUUAUUGCUGCUAAGGAACUUUUUUCAUCUCUUGACCUCCCCGUCAUGUUUUUGUUUCCGGGUGUGGGGAAGAUGAGGGCAGGCUGAGGAAGGGCAGGAGGAAGCAGUGUGAUGAGGUCGUGCUCAUCAGGGGUUAGGGGACUGUUUUCAAUUCCUGGCAUUAGAGAAGUGAGGACCAAAGACCUGGCUCUUGGAGUUUUGGAGAUUCCGGCUGGCAGAGCUUCCUUGGAGCGCAGGUGGCAAGUGAGGCAGAGUUGGAGAGGAGUGCUCCUGCGCCCCACAGGCAGGCAGGAAGCUGUGGGGACUUGGGGAGGCAGCUCCCUGGACGGGCGUGGUGGCGUUCUCAGGGUUAGCACUGUCAGAAGCGAGGCUUCUUGGGCCUGAGGAUGUGCUUCCCAGGAUGUCAGGCUGCAGCUUUAAGCAAGUGAACUUCCCCUGGAAGCUCCUAGGAAGCUCCUGGCCACUCCAGGCUCUUGCUUUCCCAGAGUAGGGGCCGAGUAGAGACAGCUUGCAACAGAGAAGCUCAGAUGGAUCAGCCAGCCAUGGACUGCUCCUGUCUUUGCUGUGAGAAGUGACAUGUUGGGGCACUGUCCUGAGGGGCUGGAUUGUUCUGAUUACAGGAAGAGCCAAGAGAAUCUGCAGUGGAGGUAGGGGGAUGUCACGGCCAGUGUCAUCCAGACUUGCUUCUGUUCUGGAGUAAAUGAUGAAGAAGCAAAAAGACCUAGAUAGUGAUGUCUACAGAGAGCAACAGGGAACCCUUAGAGGCAGCAGGAAGAAAGAGUUCUCUCUUUCCCGCCCUCCCCUCGUCUUCUCUCUCCUCCUCUUACUUCCUCUCAGGGUUUUGGUUUCUACAAAGCCUGUGUGCGGGGUAAUAGAAAACAGUGAGUUACAACCGUGUGAACUUUGAUUUAACGUAUUUACAUUAGUCAAUAUCUAACCAGGAAAAUAGAAACUAUUUAAAGUAUUUAAAAUAGGGGGAAUUUAGGGCGAAUUGGUUAUAUAUGUGAUGGAAGACCAGAGAAACCCAAAAGGAGAUCAAAUGGCAACCCAGAGAUUAGCAAUAAAGGAAGCCAUGACAAGAGAGACGAAGGGAGGGUAUUUUUCAUUAUUGAGAUAUAAUUGACAUGUAUCCCUGUAUAAGGUGUACAAAGUGUUCAUGGGAUCCAUUUCUAUAUUGUAAUGAGAUUUCUGUGAGAUCCCGGGAGGUGGUGUCAGGCCGUGGCACUCAGCACUGCAGUGGCCUUUCCUGCUAUGAAGCCAUGUAGGAUGUGCAGUCUGAGGCAGAAGGGCAGGUGGGAAUGCCCAGGCUUUUCCUUUUCUCCUGCUCUCCCCUCUCCCUAUAAGUUGCCUCUCCUUGGCUGAGGCCAGAGCUGUCCAGGAGCUCCGGGAAUGCAGCCUGCAGGGGGCAGCACGUCCUUGUUACAGAGCAGCCCGAGGGGCAGGAGAGGAAGCCAUAGGACCAAGGGCCAGCCAGUCCCCUCUUCUUAUAGGAGCCUCUGGGUGAUAUGAUGGAGGAAAACGUGUGCGUGUGUUGUGGGGGGUGGGGUGGGGUCUGAAAUUGAGAGAAAUUCUUAACUUUCCUGUCAGAAGAGUUGAAGUUUAUGUUGGCUUGAUAUUCAACUUUCGGACUAAAGGAUCAUAUUCAACGUAAAUUCAUUUCACAGACUUUAGUAAACAUUAGAAUUUGCCACCAGUUCAGAUGAGUUUGUCUGGACUGUAUUCUAAGUGAGUAGUAGCAGGCAGAAUUUUAUUCUAAAAUGUACAACAGCCAGACCCUUCAGUCAAGUGGCACUCAAUCUUGACAGUGAAAUGGUAAUACUCAUUUCUCAUUAUAGUUAUCAUGGAAGAAUUGAACUUAGAGCAGAUGCGUUUAAUUUAUUCACGAUGUCACCAGAUGUGGGCAAACUUGUUUGAAUAAAAUACAAAUUGACUUAAAGGUUUAACGUAAAAAUCAACAAUUAAAGAGCUGAAAAUGAUUAAUUAACCUUUUUUUCUUUUUCAUUUUGAUGUGUCUCUUGCGUUUUCUGUUUUCAGCUAAGAGAGACAGUACUGAAAUGUCAUUAAAAAAAUGUUGAUUUUGCAGUAUUUCUCUGCCCUUGGGAACAGGAAAUACCUAGAAUUCUGCUAGUGAGAUGGUUCUUAGGAACUUUCUCGUGUGAUUUUUAUAAUGAAGAGGAUUAAAUGUGUUUGGAUGACUCCAGCAUUGAGAACUUUGUCACUCUGAUGCUCCAGACCCAUUGACAUUUCCCCCAAAUGCUCCCUCUUCCAUAUGUUAGGGGAUUACUUUUAAGAUCAAGUAAUGAAUAUAAUGGAGUCUGUGCUGUUUUUGGAUUUCAGACUCCUUGUGAAUGUGAAAUAGAUUAAAUAGAGGACACUUGAGAAGUAAUAAAUUCCAACAAUAAUAUCAACGGGUGUGACAAAGAGACCAGGCAAGUGACUUUUCGACAGCGUUAAAGUGAUAUUGGCAUUUCCUUCUCUUUGGGAGGAGAGAAGCUGGGCCUGGGAGGAGGCGACAGUCAGUUCUCCGAAGCCUCUCGGAUACCUACACAGCUUUUUGGCCUGUCAUCUGAGCUGUGGAACUGAUUUAGCAAUAAAGUUCACAAAAUAGUGUUACAUAAAGGCCAAAUUGAAAAACGAUGCUGUUUUCAUGUCUUCCUUGAAUCAUGGGAAAGAAUCACUUCUUUUCUUAGUGUUUAGUUUCUUGAGAUCUAUGUCGUGUGUUUACAUUACCAUAGCUAUAGAUAAUUGGAUUGGCUUAGUCAACACCUGAGAAGAAAAAAAAUGGGCUAAUAUUCACUGAGUGCCCCCGUGUUCUGGUCCCUGCGGGGUGCGUGCCAAUGCUUAGGGGGAUGAGCAGGCAUGUUCAGUCGACAAAUGGAUGGCUUGCCUGUUGCGGCCAUGGGCUGCACUCGGUUGUCAGCACUGAUGUGAGUGAGGGAGAAUGGCAGUCAUGUCCCAAUAAAGUUGGAGUAGACUUUGGAGUCGAGUGGACUGUUGCCUGUUUAUUCUCAAAUCUGUUCCCCGAACUUCCCUUGUUCCCCCUCUGUGUCGCAGAGAAACUGUCCUUGUUAUUCCCAAUACUUCUUCACCAAUCAGCUUCUUCCCAGGAGUGGCUCUGGGAGGCACUGGCAGGAGAUAGGAAGGUGGAGGAAGGAGUAAUCCAGGGUACUAAUCUCCACCUGUCUCUGCUUUGGGGGUGUCUUCAGUAGUAACUGUCUCUUGUGAUGCUCUGGCUCCUGCCAGAUAGUUUGUUCUUCCACAGCCCAAACUCCCACUGUCCAAGCCUUCUGGGUUCUGGCUUCUACCAUGUCUUCUGCUCCUGACUUCCUCCCCAUGUCUGUCGAGCUCUGGGGAUGCAGCCUCCUGCAGUUGGAAAUUCCUGGUUGCCUCCUCUUCCAGUGUUUGCUCUUUGGGCCCUUCUAACGCUUUGUGACAGAUAUCCUGCAGUAAACUUGGUAAACUCCUUCUAUUGAAUGACUAGAUCCAGGCGUGGGUCUCCUGGUUGCACCAUGAAUGAUGCUGAGCCUGAGAGAUGUAGAUUAAAGCCUAUGUUUGACUCACCAUGAGCAAGACCUUUGGGCAAGUCAUUUAACUCCAAGGAUGUUCCUACAACCGUACUGUGGGGUUAGCACUGACUCAGAAAAUUGUAAUGGAGGUUAAAGGGCAUUCCUAGCAUGGCACCUGGCACAACGCAAGCAUCCUAUGAUCCUGUCUUAAGCCUAUGAUUUAAAAACCAGGGCACUGCUCUCUAAACUCUCUAAUACAGAGAAUCCUAGAGAAACAAGAAAAGCAUCAUGAUUGUAUGAGUAAAACAUCCAUUUAAGAGGGUGUGUGGGUUGUUGGAAAGGUCAUGGAAUACAAAUUGGAGUUGUUUGGACAUAAUGUCUAUGGAGAAGAGCAAACUGUCUGAGAGAAAAAGAUGAGACUAGGGUGUAUUCCAGGCAAAGGGUCAACUGGGAGACUAAGUUGGCUCCAAGACCUAAGGCGUGACUAUGGAACAAGAAGAGUGGGCAGUGAGUUGUUACAAAAGCUGAGGGCACAUGAGGAUGUGUUCUGGCUGUGGGAACCUUCUUUGGAUUCACGCUCCCAAAACAUCAACGGAGAACGCUCCCAGGUGUAAAAGAAAGCCAUGUUGCUUGUCCCUUGUUGCUUCACAGUUUUGCUAAUCCUCAUGGAACAUGAUGUCAGAGCUGUUCUGUGACACAUUUGGUGAUUGGAAAUGGGCAGCUGUUUUAAGCAGAGGAAGCCUGUAUACUUACUUCAGUUCAUGGAACCAUAUCCAAGGAAAAUGCUAGGUAGUCAUCCAAAGCUUAUUGAUUUAGAUACGUUCUUAACCUCUUUCUUAUCCUGGAAAUGUCAUAUGGGGAAGUAUAGUUUAUCAAUGUGUUAGACAUGAGAUUUAUGAUAUAAUGGAUCCCUUCGCUAGGGUUGUGAUGGAAAAACAUUUUGGUUACCUUUAGUAAAAGUAGUCAGAGUGUGACAGGAACUUAGAGAAUGGCAGGUGCUCAAUUAGUGCUUGUUGGAUUAAAUGUGUAUUAAAUAAAAAUAUUGGCAACAUGAAAUGGCACAUUUUGCAAAAAUUUAAUGACACAAUCACACAGAAACAACACACUGGAUUAAGAAAUAACGGAUGUGAGACUAUAAAAUGUGAUACAAUUGUAAGAUAUUAUUCUAAAAAUAUCUUGUGUAAUAUAGCAAGAGUUGUUGGCAUUAAAUCAUGAAUCAUAAUUUGAAUCUUGUAAAGAAGGGAGUGUCAGGUAUUUGCGUCUCUGAUUUAUAUCUCAGUAAAUCCUGGUACAGUCUAGUGGGCCCAGAAAAUACAAAUCCGAAGCAGACUUGAGUCUGCUUUUGAUGAUAGUAUAUCUGCGUGGAAUAAGAACAACCCAGCUGAAAGGUAUUAUGACAGACUUUAUUAUCUAUACAACGACACCUGGCUGAGUCUUGCUCUGCAGAGGACUUGCUCUUCAUCUGGCCACUGAGAGCAGGAGACCCCACCUGGCCCUCUCCCAUGUCAGCUCAUGGUCUCUUCAGGCUAAAUCUAUCCUCAGGCUAAACCUGGCACCAGGAGAUGGCACAUGCACUUGCCUUGAGUCCAGUGCUUGACAAGGGAACCCCGUUCUUGGUGUAUAGGGACGGGUAGGACCUACUUCUCUCAGCCCCUGUGAGGGACACCUGUUCCCUUCGCUAUUGGGGAUCCUGGAAGAAACUUCCUUCUGUAUUAUAAUUAUCAUGAGGGUACAUUCUUCAAGAAUAUUGGGAAUACUUGGGGAUAUAGAUUUAGAGAUAAAGGCAUGGAAACUUGACAUCAAAAGAAAAAUUCCAGCGGUUCAGUCUUGUUUACACUGUAGUCGAAGUUAAUAACACUUAGUUCACCACAGGCUCAGGAAAUCUUCCUUUAAGUGGACUUACACUUCUUCAUAGAACUUUUUUGCUAAUUCUCCCAGCCUUACCUUUUUCAAUAUUCCAAAUAAACUUUCAUUAAAAGGGGGGAUAAUUUAAUAUGCUGCCUAGAUACAGCUAUUGUUUUUUGCUGGGGGAAGAACACACAAAGUCCUAAGUGGAAACGGAAUGGUGUUCCUUUCAAAUAUACCAAUACGCUGGGAUUGUUACUUUCGAUAAAUCAAUUUCAAAUAGCCACUCUGAAUAUUCUAAAAUGCUCAAAGACUCUUUGGAACCAUUGAUAGAAAAUUAAUUUGUGGUUUAUUCAAAUUACUCCACGUGAGGAGAAAAUAACCCAUUAAAUGAACAGAAACUAAUUUCUUAAUGUUUCUCGUUUGCCUCAUUGCUUUCCCAAGGAAUAAAUAAUAAACCAUCAAAUAGAAAGUUCAUGAAAGAUCCAGGCAUGCUUAUGGCCACAGGGCUGCCUUCCACGCUCUCAAAGCUUUACAGCUUCCCUUUUGAACCCAUCGCCUGUAACGCUCCAUCAUUAUCAACAUGAACACAACAGUCUCCCAUCCCCGACUGUGUUUGCCUGCUCCUACUCUUGCUUCUUCUAUCUUCCUCCCUCUGCCCUCCUCCCUCCCGUCUCCUCCUCUGCCUUCCUUUUUCAACAAAAGCAUCUUCAUUACGCGUUUUCUGGACAUAGCGUACCGUGGAUUCAGAGGUGGGCUGUAAACAGUACAUUGAACGAAUGAAGUGGGUUUUAGAAAUUAGAGUUUGUUGAAGAGAGUCUUUAGGGAGAAGGGAUAGUGGAGGAAUGUUCAAGAAACAGUGAGUCCAUCAGUGUGGCUGGAGUGAAAAGAAGUAGGGGAGAUAAUGAGGGGCAGGUUGUUGGGGGCAGAUUGUGAAAGCCCUUGAGCACCACGCUUGCAUUUCCUUCUGUAGGCAGUGGAGAACUCUCAGUGGUUUCCAGAUACAAAUGUAUGCUAAAGAGUGAUUUGGGAAGAUAAACAAAUUAGUUAAAGUGUAGGUCCAGCUGGUCUAAGAGAGACCAACAGUCAAAGUGGCUUAAAUAAGAUUAAAGUUUAUUUCUCAGUCUAUUAACAGUCUAGGCUUAAGCAGUCUGGACUGCUAGGUUGGUUCCACAGAGUUGGGACUCCAGGACCCUUCCUUCUUGUUGCUUCACCAUCCCCAGGGCUUGUCCUUGUCUGCAUGGUCUGUGACAGCUUGCCUCCACUUUCACAUGUCUGCUAUGGAAAAGGGGGCUGCGGAGGGCAGGUGCCCAACUAAAAUACUAACAUAGAGGUUCUAUUAGUAUAAAAAGGAAUGCUAGGGAACAGUGUCAAACAUGGAAGGCAGCAAUAUGUAGAAUAUACUAGCAUGGAGUGUCUGGCUUUGUCCCUUUAAAUUCUCUAACGAUCCGAGAGCACCGGCUUCCAUAUCAGCUUCCAUUUCCCUGGGGGGACAGUUAGACUGUUCCUUGGAGAGAUUCUGGUAACCAGGAGAUGCAGAAUGGUGCAGGGAAGACGCAGACUCAGUGUCAAGGGAAUUAGGUUUAAGUCUCAGCUGACACAUUGCGUGACUUUGGGAAGCUUACCUAAACUUAAUGGAUCUCAGUUUUACUGUCUGUGUAUGAGGUUAUAAAUACUUUCUCUUCCUGUCACAAUGUUUGUCAUAAGAGGUGAAAAAUCAGCAAGGUACUAUCAUUGUCUUGCUGUUAGUGUAGGAUAUAGAUAUAGGUACAUCUAUGUAUGGGGGUGAGUGUCUAAGAUAGAGACUUAAAAAAAGAGUGAGAGAAUAAUAUCAGGGAACCAGUAUGAAAAUGGCAAUGGUUAUGACUGUGAUCUUUAUCCAUUUCUUUAUCUCCAGUGCCUGGCGUAUGGCAGGCCCUACAUAUGUCGGUUGGGUUUGUUUCAUAAAUUGCAAGUUUUACUUUAAAACAUCACAUCCAAAUGCUUUUAGGGAAAUUAUUUGUAUUUAUUUGGAGUUUCUCAAGCCUUUCUUUGUCUCGUUUCUCUUUAUCUGCUCUUUAGAGUGGGACCACAUUGUAGAGAAUGAAUGUGUGGUUUAAUAUACAGCUUCUGUUGUUUCUCACAUUAUCAGGAGGACAGCUAAAGUGUAUCAAUAUUUUGAAAAUAUGUAGCAGUUAUAUUUUUCCUUCUUUCUUAAAUCCUCUUUUACUGAAGCCCCUCUGUCAUUAAGACUAAGCCUUAAGGUUUUUUGCCCUGGAAAUGAGUCUCAAAGAUGACUUUUUGAGAAAACAGUAAUAGAAUGGAUUUAAAAAUCUAGUUUUCUUGAGAAGGAAAAGGAUUUAUUAAUUUCCAGCUCUCCUCCACUAUAAAUAGCAAAACCUGAGCCUGGCACACUCGCUUCAUAGAGUUCAUAAGUCAUUGUAUAGAAAUCUGGGAGUCUGUUGUAAGGAAAGUUCCCAUCAGGUACUUAGGGUUUUUGUUUCUGUGUUUGUGUGUUUUUUGUUUUGUUUUGUUUUCCCAUGGAGACAGCAAUGAGGAGAAGCAAGAAGUCAGAUGUUAUUGUCCUAGUUUUCCUCUCUUGGAGAGCACCCCAAGAAGUAGAAAUGAGAAGCAGAAGCAUCCAGAUGGUUUUGGGAAACUCCCAGUCCAGGCAGGCUGGCUCCUUACUUCUCAGACAAGGAACCUGGAAGGCAGCCCCUUAGGGACUGUGUUUCUUUCUGCAUGUGUUGGAGCAUUAUGGUGCCAACCAGGAAACAGGAUAGGAGAGGCUACAGGACCACACUGCCAGGGCAUCAAGUCAAAACAAAGAAGGCGAAACACAAAGGGACGAAGCAGACCAGACACUGAUUCUUGAAGCUUCCUCUUGGAGGUGACACACAUCACGUCUGCAUUUCGCAUGAAUUAUUUUGUACCAUGAUACCCGAAUCCCAUGUCAUUUGCCAUCAUUGAACAAAGAGAAAGACUCUAAGAAACCAGAACAGUCCUUAAGGGAGCUGGAGACAGAGGAGGCGGAUUGCCGAUUCGGAGACAGAGCAAGUAUUCCUGAGAGAGAAAAAGUGCUCCUGAAAGCAGCGGGUGCUGGUCUUCAAAUGUCGUCAUUCAGUUCCUCAACGACCAGGUUUGGAAACUGAUCAGUGCUAUUGAAUUUCUCUGUAAUAUCAGCAUAACUUUGAAAUAUCCUUAGUCUAGAAAAUGUAAGUGAAUUAAUGACUAAAGAUUUUGUAAAAUGUGGUUGUCAACAAUUUUUUGAACAUCUGUCUCCAGAGGAAUAUGAUUACGGAUUCAAAAUUGCAGGGAAAAAGUGACAAAUAGUCAGUCUUGGCUGUAAAUUUUCCUAUUUGGGCUGGGAGUCAGCUUCCUCAGAAAUCAGCUUGGUCGUCCCUCUCCCUCCAGGUCCGGGGCACACAGAGCAGCUGCUUGUCUCUGGAGUCCAGCUGUGAAGGAUUCAUGGGCGCCUUCUCCAGGGUUGCCAGCCCCAGGAUUGUUCUCCGUGAAGAUUUCUCCCAGAAUCUCAACGUGGCAAAGCUCACCAUGGGACCAUCCUUUUAGUUAGAGUUUCCAACAAAUGGGGAAGCAUUUGGCAUGCUCUUUCCAUCUUUGCUACUAUUCAUUUAGUCUUUGUCUCUGAAAUGCGUUGCCAAGAGGAAAGCUUCGUGUGUUCGUUUGUAGUGUGACAUCUUGCUUUGGAAACUUUGAGUGUGUGCAUAGGGAGGCAAAGAAAAAACGAGGCUUCACUUUUCCCCACUUUGCAUUAAUUAAAAAAAAGACUGAAAGUGAAGUUUGAGUUUUUCUUUAUUCAGAAAUUGGAAAGAAGAUUCGUAUGCAUUUUUGUUGUUGUUGUUGCAUUUUUGUUGUUGUGUUGUUGUUGGAGUAGAUGGGAGGUAGUAAGAGGUGUCAGAGACUUUCUCUUUGUUUUUAAUGUUGGUACCCGAGAGAUUAUACUCAAUGAUAGAUGAUAAAAGAAAGGGCCAGGUUUCAGGUGGAGUAAUCUUAUGAGGAUGAAGGGCCUGGAUGUCUUGUGUGGGAUAAAUGGAGGCUCUAAUCGUGAUCCGACUCACCGCUGGGGUUGGACAUAUUACGUAUAUCAAAAAAAGAUAUUAAAAUGGAGAUAAAUUUAAACCUGGUGAGAAAAAGGCAAUAAUAAGCCUUCCAAAUACCAUUUAAAAUUGCCCCACAGUGACCAUGGAGCCCUACAUAAAAGAAAUACUAUGAUCUCACUAAUUGUAAAACCUACAGUUUUAGAAAACUAAUGGAUCUUAGUGGAGAGAAAUUCAUAGCUUAAGAAUGUGACAACCACGAUAAGGUACUGAAAAGUCAGUUUCCCUAAGGCGGUUAGCGUGGACUCUGUAAUGAACUAAGUACUGGGAAACUUAAUUUGAAUUUUCCAAACUGUGUGCCCAGAGACAUAUGACUGAAACGUAUUUUCAGAAAGCUAUAAAGCAACCAUAGUUCUUGACAAGGACUAAUAGUCUGCUUUUACAAAGAACUUUUUUUUAAUCUAAGGGCUUCAGAGAACAAGCAGAGAGUCAGUUAUGCUACCAGCAUUGACACUUAGAGAGAAUGAAUGGGUCUUAGGGAACCACUGAAUCCGAAAGUUACAUUCAGUCAAGGCUCAUAUUGUUUUCUGUUUUAAUCUAGGAUUACUGUAUUUGCUUUUUUUACAGUUAGAAAAACAACUUCAAUUAUAUCUGUCAAGAAUAUGCUAAUAAUUGAAGAGUGUUUAAUAUUUUAUUUCUAAUAAUGAAAAUAUUACCAAAUUGUAUUUAUUUUUAAAGAUACUUGAAAUAAUAAAAUUCCAAGACAGCAAAAAAACUGUACUCACUUUCCGGUCAUCAAGUCUGUGUCCCUCGUUACUGAAAGGUCUUGUCAUUAGAGUAAGGAAAGGGGAGCUCGACUAAGCCUCAGAACGCCAACUGAUCCAUAGAAGUAGUAGGUGACUCUUCACAGAGAACCUGGGGAAGGUAGAAGACGGGCCUGCCAGAGGAUGAGACCCAGAGGGGGUCGUAUGGGCACGCCUUGCGAAACCCCAAUGACAGAAAGAAGGCGGGGGAGAAGGGGUUCUGGAUAUGGAAACUAAUUUUGGAAGGAGCAACACAAGAACAUUGAAGACAAGUAUUGCCUGCCUGGGAACUUUGUCUAGUCCCAGUGUUUGCGACGUGCCUAGGCUGACAUUAUAGGGAGCCCGAACAGAUUGGAUGUCACUGCCUUCGGAACCCAUGCUGUGGCCCCAUGAAGAGAUCCAAAGAAGGGCUCUGCUUCUGCUCUUCCUUGGCAGCUGAAGAGCAUGGCCAACGCUCCUUCCCUGAGCCCUCACCACCAUCAGACAUUGUGUUGAACCCUCCAUCCUCCAUCCCGUUUGGUCCUCACAGUGGCCUAUGAGCAGUUAAUAAUACCUCCAUCACCACCGUCCCCCCCAUUUUUUAACAGAAAAUACUGAGACUCUGAAUAGUUAAAUGACCUCAAGAACAAACAAAAAAUAACAGUAAAACUGGGGUUUAACCCUCGAGUUGUCUGCCUGUAGAGCCCAUGCUUUAUCCCAGGGUCUUAAGACACGGGAACUGGCGUCAGAGAAAUGUCUGCAGAACUUGCUGCUGUCUGGUCUCCAGGCUCUGUGCCCAGCCCAGAGCAGCAGCCCCUCUAGCUGGGGCAGAAAUGGAGGGAAAACUCCUGGAACUUCAGCCCUUCAGCAGCCAGUCUCAGAUCCUUCCCUCCUGUCUUCCCUCAUCAGAUUCUGAGAUGCAGAUAUCCUACUUCUGCUCCUCAAGACAAAAAGGGAGUUGGAAGGAGAACGUAAGUCUCCAGGGGAGUGGAUCCCGUCUAGUUUCUCCAUUUCCACAGUCUCUCACUCACUCCCAGUUCCCGGCAUCAAAGAGGUGGAAGAAAGGUCUGGAGGGAGAGGGGUCUUCACUUUCUGCUCUGUUCUCUUCCAUUUAUCUUUAAUUCUCCUUGUGAUUCAUGGUCCCUAUCUCCAGCUGUGACAUAGCCCUUUCAAAAUAGACCAUUUGUUCUUGGAGUUUGGCAGGAAGAAGGCAUGACUUUAUUUUCAGGUGAGUUAAUUAUUAUAUCCUGUAGGGAUGUCUACACUACAAUCCUGAUUGUGGUAUUUGCUGCUUAUUAAGCUAGGGUGUUUUGUUUUUUGUUUGUUUGGUUUUUUUUUAUCAAGCCCCUGAAAUUCCUCAGAGCAAAGAUAGGUUAUAAAUGACACCGAGUGGAAUAAAGCUACUUAUAAAACAUGUCUCAAAACAGGAUUUUUCUUUUUCUAGAGCAUCCAGUGCUUUUUACCCUAGAUAGAUAAGAUAGUUAAUCCCCCAGCCCCCUUAUUACUCUCCUACCGGUGUGUGGACACACUGACUCCCCUUUCCUGGGGUCUUGGCAUACUCCAUGAAGAGAGUGAUGUGGAAGGGUAAAAACAUUACUCAGCCACACUUUACGAAAGUUUCUAGCAGUUGGCAAUACUCAGUGUGACCUUUAUGUUGGAUUUUGCCAUCAUUUUAAUCACUUUACCAUCACUUGCAGGAGAGAAGGCGUCUUUAAAAGUGCCCUAUUUAAGACUAAGCCAAGACUAAGUGUACAUUCUCAUUAUUUCACACGUUGUCAAAGAAACCAGCACAGUGAAAUGACAGCAUUUUGAAGAAAAUAAAUUUGCACAAAGCUCUUAAUUAAGGUAGGGGAGGACAUUUUAUUGCAAUUAUUUAUAUUUGACGUUAAUCUUUUCAUUUUCAUGUUUAUGCAGCAAAACUUUAUUUUUGUGUCCAAAAUUUUGCUUUUAAUUUCCUACCACUGUUUGCCAAAGCCCUUGUAAAUUUCUAUGUCUUUUGCAAGAGGUUUUUACCCAAGAGUUUUUGGACUAUCUAUUGUAUUCUUUAUGUUUCUGUGUAUUUGGCUGAUUAUUCUACUAUAUCUAGGCUCUCAUUUGCAAAAAAUUAAUUUCCGUAUAGCAUGCUAAAGGAAGUUUCAGUGUAUUUACUGAUCAAAAAAAAGCUUAACUUUUUCUAACACCCACAAGGAUAAAGCAUUUGAUUUUAUACUGAUUAUUACUACUGUCAUUAAUUUUAUCUACUUUUUAAUUUUUUUUAUUUUAAAAUAUCAAGCCUACAGAAAAGUUGCAAAAAGGACCCUUCAAUCAGACUCAUUAAUUGUUAAUAUUCAACCUUUUGGGAAUUAAUUAUAAACAUCAUGACAGCCCAAUAUUUUAACAUUUCUCGCCUAAAACAAGGACAUUCUCAAUAUAACCCACAAUAUAAUUAUCAUAAGAAAAUUUAACUUAAUGUAAUGCUUUUAUCUAAACACAGUCCAUAUUCAAAUUUCCAAAGUUGUCCCAAUAAAAUCUCUUAUAACUAUUCAUACCCCUCCUUCCAGGACCCAAUGAAGAAUUAUUUAUCACAUUUAGUUAUCAAAUCUCUUUAUCCUCCUUUAAUCUAAAACAGCGCUCAGCUAUUUUUUUCUUUCAUGACGUUUAGCAUUUAUAAAGAAACUGGACCAUAGUCUUGUACAAUAUCCCUAAAAUGAGCAUUUUCUUGUAAUUAGAUUUUGGUAAAGAGCAUUUUUGGCAGGACUACAAUGUGUGUGAUGUUGUGUCCUUCACAGAGCAUCAUGUCAGGAAGUACACGCUGUCAGUGUAUCCUAGUUUGGGAAAUGAAGUUUGGUCACUUGGCUAAGGUGACGUCUGUUGGAUUUCUUCAUUGUGAAAGAACCCUCUUCUUUCAUAAUUAAUAAGUACUCUGUGGGGUGAUAUUUUGAGACUAUGUAAAUAUCUUGUUCUCCAAUGAUCCUUCCCCCAAUGGCUUUGGUAUCCAUUAAUAGAUGUUGCUUGAAUCAAUCAUUACUCUGAUGUCAGCAAAAUAGUGAUUUUCCAAUUUUAUCAUUUCUUCUACAUUUAUUAGUCAUCAUUUUUCUGUAAAGAAGAUCUUUGCAUUCUUCCUCUCUCCAACACCUGAAAUUAUUAUUUUGGGGUAUCAUUAUGAACUAAGAGAUUCCUUUUGUAUUCAAUGUAUUAUAAUUUAUUCCACUCGUUAUUUGUUAUAAUUCAUGAAUUGCUCUAAAUUUGGUCUAUGGAAGCCCCGCUAAACUCUGUUAUCCGUUUCAAUUGUCUUAUUCACUUAACCUCAUUAUCAGAAAUAAGCUUUGAAGAUUCAAAAUAAUUUUUAUCCCAAUUAUUUGUAGCAGUACUUCAACUCUCAUAUCACAUUUAUUUUUACCUGUGAAAAAUUGUCUAACGGUUCAGCUUCAAUAUGUAAAGAGCUGGGAAGUUGUCACUCUUAUCUUCACAAGAAAAGAGCUGAACACACUGAAAACCAAAGACCUUUCUUGGACCCAGAGAAACUAAGGUUGCGGGUCAAGCAGGUCAAAUUCAGAAAGUCACAGCCAAGAUCUGCUUACCUAGAACAGAAGUCAUUGGGUCCAUAAACUUAUAGCAACAGUUAAAUGGUAAUUUUGGUGAAUUGUUGGAUGCUGAGUGGGGACUAACAUGAGAGUCAGAAACUCCUGGGGGACACAGUCUUAGGGAGCUCCCACACUUUCAUGGUGUUUACCUCUGGGAAUCCCCCAGAUCUUCUUGGUAAAGAGCCAAGAAAGAUCCUCUAUGCCUCUGACAAUGGAAGGGAAAAAGUAACAAUUUGAAAACUCACCCAGUGCCUUGGCCAUAACAAAAGUCCACUCCUCAGGGUCUAAGACUUUACCAGAGCCUUAUCCCCCCUGGGGAAAGAGCAUGUACUCAACUCUGGCGCUUUCUAGGCAUCUUGUCUUACCUAAGGUGGGGAGUAAAGCUAGGAAAUAUUUAUGAAGCUCACAGUCCAAUGACACAGACUGAAAUUUCAUUGUAAGAGUAUAGAAUGCUCCCCCUCCCCCACACCUUACACCCUCUACACCAGCAGGGCUCCAGUAUUAAGAACAGUGGGUUACAGCUGAAAGGGCUGCAAGACACAGACUGUCUGAGGAGGAGUUCUCAGGGAAGCUCAGAGACAAUGGGGGAGACAAAAAACAACGGCAGCAGAGGUGUCUCAAGCCUCUGGUAGGUACAGCUACAGCCAACAGCCCAACUUCUAGACAGAUUAACAUAAAACAUCAUACCAAAGCCUAUUUACCUCAGUUCCUAUUACCCAAUACAUCAUGUCUAACUUCCAACAAAAAAUUACAAGGCACGCUAAAUAGCAAGGAAAAAGUCAUAUAAUGAAAAUAUCCUCUCUUUGUGAAGAUGUUUCUUCACCUUCAGUUGAAUUAGGAUGAGAUUGCCCCGAAAACUCCUUUGUUAUGUUUGUGAAGUUCCGUAUGUAACGUCUGAUUUCUGCCUAUAAAAAUCGAUUUGGUGACUCAUAUAACAUGAAGAGAAAUUUAAUUAUUCAGUUCUAGAGCAAAUAAGAAGUACAAUUAAAGAAGUGCAGUUAAAAAGACAACUAUAGGCUGAAAAGCUGACUCUUUUCCUUAGGAACAGAGAAGCUAAAGUGAAAUGUUUGCAUCGAAGGGCCCUGCUGGUUUUACGGUCACAUCUGCUAACCAGUCUGAAUCCUUGGCUCACAGGGAUCCUCAUGACUGCUGAAAAAAAGCGAUUCUUUCAGAAACAUUUCCCCUUCGUGUAGCCUAGCAUUUUUCAGCAGUCUGUGUUCCCAAAACUCGUGGUUGAAAAAUACUCAACCUCGUGCCUACAUUUCCUGAAAAGAAGAUCAGUCCAGAGGUGAUUCAGUAACACAUGAAGCUUGCUCUCCAGACACAAAUAUGAAAUACGAAUCAGAAAGAACACUGGCAUGAAAAUGACAGAAACCUCAUCACGUUGAGUUGGGAAGUCAGUCUUAUUAUUAGUUCACAGAGAUUGAGUGUUCUUUGGCAUUUCGUGGUGCCAACAGUGGGCUAGGUGCUGUAGCGCACAUAGAAUUAGACAAAAUUCUUGCCCAGGGGGCUCAUAAUCAAAUCAGACAAACCAGACGCUAGCCCAGUCCAGCAGUCUGGAGUGGGGAGAGUUGGGCUUCCAUGGGGAACCUAAGGUCACUCUGUCCAUGAGGAUACACUGUUUCCCUCCAACAAGCCUGUUCUCUUGUGUUAUGUAAGUUUGGGAGGAAACCUUAACAUACCUUCUUGUGAUUUCCAUUUCGACAUCACCUAGGAAAUGCAGUUGGGUUUUCACUCGUCGUGUGACAGGGUUCAGGAUAAAUUCUGUUAAGCACGUGGCUUGGUUUACUGGGUAAGGAAGGAAAAACUCACAGGCCAGAGUUACUAGAGGGAGAAGCAAAGUUUUGUAGGAGACAUUCCAGGGAGAGACCUGCAGGGCCAGGUUUUUGCUGAGCCUGCAAUACGUAUCUGCCAUUUUGUGACGAUCCAUUCUCACCUCCACUCCAUCAUGAGCGGUGAAGGUUGCAUGAGCAACCUUGACGAGUGAGCUGUUUGGCACCAGGCGGUCUGGAUUUGGGUUGUCAGCUGUUUACAGAAGAUUUUUGGGCAUACCAGUAGGCCAGCAAUUGGAAAUCUUUGCACUCAUGUAAUAUUCCCAAUGUGGGGCAGUAGAUGACCCUGUUGACAUGCAGGUCUGAGUUUAAAAAGCAAUAAAUAGCAUGCAUGUCAAAACUCAGCUCAAGGUUGGAUUGGAUAAUUUCCUGUGUCCUCCAAGUGCUUGGUACUAUCUCUGUUCUAGACUUGGCACUCUGUAUUAAGAUCACUGCCUAUUUGUCUGUAAACCAUCCUCUAGCAACUAGAUAGUGCUAGGCACAUAGUAGGUUCCAAUGAAAAUUUGUGAAUGAAUAAAUGCCGUAAAGAAUGUAAGCCAGCUCUAACUCUGCAUGUUCUUUGACCUUCCAAGGAGAACUCAAGUAUGACAACUUUCAAAAAUCUUCACAGUCCCCAAACCAAACCCCUUUAAGAUAUGUUUGUUUGUUUGUUUUUUAACAGCCUUGGGGCCUCAGCUUUAUAUUUAAACCUACAGGAUGUUUCCAUAGUUAAUUAGUUAGAAUCACGAGAGUAGCUACUCCCAAACCUUCAUCUAUUCCAUAAUUUUAUGUAUAUAUCACAUGGUGUGCAUUAUGCGCUCAGAAUUAUGUCACUCUAUUAUUUUGUGUAUAUAUCAGUACCAGUGUGGUUUGAACUCAGAAUAAUGGAAUAAUUGUUUUAAGAAAAAUAUUUAGGAGUUUAAAAGCCAUGUGGUUUUUUUAAAUAAUAAUUUUGCUUCUUUAAAGCUCCUUGAAGAUGUUGUGGAUUUUUAAUAGAGGAAAUAACUUUUUAAAAACCGUUG
Molecule: non-coding RNA, 19174 nt
Organism: Equus caballus (horse)
Lineage: Eukaryota; Metazoa; Chordata; Mammalia; Perissodactyla; Equidae
Source: RefSeq, a predicted model, not a curated record